GAUUAGGAGAGACGGCAUCCAUCCCACUUUGGAUGGAGCGGCUCUCUUAUCUAGAAAUAUGGCGAAGUUUAUCUCUAAAACCUGACAGUCCAGAGUUAGGACCAGGAAGCAGAGCUGCUGUCUUACACACUUCUCUGCGCUUUCUUUAGAACAGUCACCCAUCCAAAACCCCAUAGAGACUGUGUCUGUCCCCCGACCACCUAAAUUAUUUAAAGAAAUAAAAACAAGAGGAGUUCAACAUAAAAAUCUAAUAAAAAUUAAAACCAACUCCUCAGUAGCACAAAAUAAGAGAAUGAAAUGUGGGCUGUUAAAUAUCAGACCUGGUUGUCCCACAAGGAGUAUGUUAGCCUAAAUGAAUCCACCCCCCCCCCAGUCAUAUUAAUACUCACAUUCCUCGAGGCACAGGCCGAGGAGGUGGAGUAGCAGCCAUAUAUGAUUCGAGCGUUUUAAUGGACCCUAAACCUAAACUAAAUUAUAAUUCAUUUGAAAGCCUUGUUCUUAGUCUUUCUCACCCAAACUGGAAAACAUUGCAGCCAGUUCUAUUUGUUAUAGUGUACCCAACUCCUGGACCGUACUCUGAUUUUAUAUCUGAAUUCUCAGAGUUUCUAUCAAGUUUAGUCCUUAAAUCAGAUAAAGUAAUUAUUGUAGGUGAUUUUAAUAUUCAUAUGGAUGUUGACAAUGACAGCCUUAGUAACGCAUUUAUAUCAUUAAUAGACUCAAUUGGCUUCUGUCAGAGUGUAAAUAAACCAACUCAUUGUUUUAA
Long non-coding RNA from Dicentrarchus labrax (European seabass), 763 nucleotides. RefSeq lists it as uncharacterized. The record is from RefSeq and is a predicted model, not a curated record. The transcript has 2 exons. NCBI's taxonomy places the organism in Eukaryota, Metazoa, Chordata, Actinopteri, Moronidae.